UUAAACCCAAUUGUUUUUAGUGUAUCUUCUGAGUAACAUAAACAAAUAAAUCAAAACUUUCAACAACGGAUCUCUUGGUUCUGGCAUCGAUGAAGAACGCAGCAAAAUGCGAUAAGUAAUGUGAAUUGCAGAAUUCAGUGAAUCAUCGAAUCUUUGAACGCACAUUGCGCCCGCCAGUAUUCUGGCGGGCAU
RNAcentral lists this ribosomal RNA (192 nucleotides) under Fusarium buharicum. RNAcentral's name for it is "5.8S ribosomal RNA". The stretch from base 55 to 192 matches the Rfam family "5.8S ribosomal RNA", at positions 1 to 138 of the family's 154-position model. Rfam says of the family: 5.8S ribosomal RNA (5.8S rRNA) is a component of the large subunit of the eukaryotic ribosome. It is transcribed by RNA polymerase I as part of the 45S precursor that also contains 18S and 28S rRNA. The record is from RNAcentral. Lineage: Eukaryota; Fungi; Ascomycota; Sordariomycetes; Hypocreales; Nectriaceae.